Molecule: ribosomal RNA, 494 nt
Filed under: uncultured bacterium
Lineage: Bacteria
Description: partial 16S ribosomal RNA
Rfam family: Bacterial small subunit ribosomal RNA
Source: RNAcentral
GAUGAACGCUAGCGGCAGGCUUAACACAUGCAAGUCGAGGGGUAUAGGUUUUCGGACCUAGAGACCGGCGCACGGGUGCGUAACGCGUAUGCAAUCUACCUUUCACAGAGGGAUAGCCCAGAGAAAUUUGGAUUAAUACCUCAUAGUAUUAUAGAAUGGCAUCAUUUUAUAAUUAAAGUCACAACGGUGAAAGAUGAGCAUGCGUCCCAUUAGCUAGUUGGUAUGGUAACGGCAUACCAAGGCUACGAUGGGUAGGGGUCCUGAGAGGGAGAUCCCCGACACUGGUACUGAGACACGGACCAGACUCCUACAGGAGGCAGCAGUGAGGAAUAUUGGUCAAUGGGCGCAAGCCUGAACCAGCCAUGCCGCGUGCAGGAUGACGGUCCUAUGGAUGGUAAACUGCUUUUGUACGGGAAGAAACACUCCUACGUGUAGGAACUUGACGGUACCGUAAGAAUAAGGAUCGGCUAACUCCGUGCCAGCAGCCGCCGUAA